Molecule: long non-coding RNA, 306 nt
Filed under: Hordeum vulgare
Lineage: Eukaryota; Viridiplantae; Streptophyta; Magnoliopsida; Poales; Poaceae
Description: long non-coding RNA (HVUL_LNC018164)
Source: RNAcentral
UGAGGGUCCGUAGAAUUUCUGAUUCGAUCUGUAUGAUCACCGAGUGGAUCGGUAGGAUCGCCGAGUGGAUCAGUAGGAUCGCCGAGUGGAUCGGUAGGACGUACUCGGAGGUCAAAGAGUACUUGGGCGAUACGGGAUCGCAGCUAGGUUGUCGACUGCGACUAUCAGGUCGCACUCGGGGCGAGUUGGUACUGAUGUAGUUGUCAGUUGUUUUGACGCCCGCAUGAGCCUCAAUGAGGGUCUGCAACUCAUGUAGUUGUCAGUUGUUUUGACCUCCACAUGAGCCUCAAUGAGGGUCUGCAGCUC